UAACUACGUGCCAGCAGCCGCGGUGAUACGUAGGGUGCGAGCGUUGUCCGGAUUUAUUGGGCGUAAAGGGCUCGUAGGUGGUUGAUCGCGUCGGAAGUGUAAUCUUGGGGCUUAACCCUGAGCGUGCUUUCGAUACGGGUUGACUUGAGGAAGGUAGGGGAGAAUGGAAUUCCUGGUGGAGCGGUGGAAUGCGCAGAUAUCAGGAGGAACACCAGUGGCGAAGGC
Molecule: ribosomal RNA, 225 nt
Filed under: Pseudo-nitzschia pungens
Lineage: Eukaryota; Bacillariophyta; Bacillariophyceae; Bacillariales; Bacillariaceae
Description: partial Bacterial small subunit ribosomal RNA
Rfam family: Bacterial small subunit ribosomal RNA
Source: RNAcentral